CAGCAACAUAAGCGUGUCUGUUUUGUUUUAUCAUCUGCAGACAAACAUUAUGUCUUUUUUCAGCAAAUAACUUUUUUGAAUCGGGAAAUAUACUAUGAGGAAAAAAAGGAACUAUUAAGACUUCAGUCAUUGUGACGACAGGCCGUCCUUCCAGUCACAUGUUUGAUCGUCGUGGGAGUUUUCACCGUCAAAUCCGAAUUCAGACGUAACCCUGUAUGAAUUGUCAAAAUACUACGGUUUGAGGAUUUAUAGAAUUUCCGACAAAUUAGAGAAAUUUACUGUUUCUGAUAAUUCUAGUAUGUUUACAGUGUGCUAUUGUACUCUUGGCAAGAAAUAGAAUAUCUCUAGUUGAUAUCCAAGUACCUUGUGGAUAAAUAUAUAUCAGAAGCUUCCUGAGCAGGUGGUAUUGUCAAACUGGUGUUCACGUUCUUGUUCCCAAUUCGCCCUCAUUUCACUACGGUUCCGUAUCUUUGCAAGGGCAGGGUUAUCAGCCUUAUAAAUAUGUGUUUCUUUUUAUUCAACUUUAUAUUCAAACCAUUCAUAAACAUAGUUGGUAAACAGUAUAAAUACGUAUUUUGUAGCGAACACCUUGUGUAUAAAAGUUGGAUAUAUAUUUCAGCGUAGCGUGAGUUGAAAUGAAACAGCAGAUUAUAUAGCUUAUAUCUUAAGCUGUAGAAUGUUUUUAAUGUGUAUUUUGUAAGCAGGAAAUACUUAUAUCAGACAAAACAUCAAAAGACAGAUGCGUUUACGUAUUAACCUUUACCCUGCUAAAUAUUUAAAAUGGACCGGUCCAUCAUUCAAUUUUGGCCAUACCACUUAUUAUUCAAAGGGGUGUUCACUGAAAAAUUACUGACUGAAUAGCGAACUGUGCAGACCAUGAUCAGACUGCACUGGUCGCAAAGGCAGAACCACUUGCCGCCAGCAGGCUAAGGGUUAAUAUACCAUCGUAAUAUUUCGAAAUAAGUAACACAGCCAUUAAUAAAGAACGAUAACAUCACAACAAGACCUAGUGAUAUAAAUCAUUUCUACAAGAGUGAAACAAUAUAAAAGUGUUUAUCAUCCCUAUGUAAAAAUGUAACUAAAAUUAACAUAGCAUUGAGGACAAUAAAAAAUAUUUGUCUUUGAUUACCUUAAAUAAAACAUUCGUUGGGAUGAAACAAGCUCUUGAAUGAUUACAAGACUUAUCUGUCCAUUUUCUUUAACAUCUAAACUAUUGAAAUAUCAAUUGUUUUUUAUUCUAGUUUCUGUUCAAGUCCCUGUCCCUAGAUUUUUGCGCCUAAAACCGACGUUUUAUACUUUCGGUGCUUCUUCAUUUGUAUAAGUUGAUUAUGUUUGCCUAAUAUAGGCUUCAUAAAUACACUGUAACGUCAUGUGUCGUUCAACAUAGUCAGUAAUUAGUAAGCGACUUUAGGAAUGCAUCUACAGUCUCUGAGAGAAAGUGGAAUUAUUUUCUGGUUUCAUAUUAAAAUUGCUUCACGGAACCGGUAGAUGGAUUUCAAACCCUAAUCAAUAAAAGCCCGAGGACCAACAAUAUAUCAAACAUCUUUGGAGUUUCAAUAGUGUAAACGGGGCCUCCGUGGCAGAGUGGUUAAGAUCACUGACUUCAAAUCACUUGCCCCUCACCGAUAUGGGUUCGAGCCUCUCUCGGGGCGUUGAAUUCUUCCUUUUAAAAAGCCAUCAAGCUGGCUUGCCGAAGGUCGGUGGUUCUACCAAAGUACUCACUCGUGAUGGAAUUAACCACGGAGGGACACCUGGGGUCUUCCUCCACCAUUUACAGCUGGAAAGUCGCCAUAUGACCUAUAAUUGUGUCGGCGUGACGUUAGACCCAAUGAAGAAAAAAACAAAGUUGAUAGGGAAGACGCUAUAAAAUAUAGACAUUAAUCGUUUGUCAUGCAUUUACAAUUUCGCUCGUCCUACUGAGGGCGUAAAUUUGAAUAUUCGAUUCAUUUAAGGUACUAGCCAAAAAUAAAAUACUUCUGACUUGUCUGAGAACGAUAUCAAAAUCCAGUAUUAUAUUAUUACAGAAAUGUGAUAAAUACUUUCAUAAUGUAACGCUUUUGCGAUAUUUGCCAAAUUAUAUAUUUUGUUUGUUCUCGUUGUUGAGUUAUUGCUUAUAGAAAAUAAUAUAGACGUGUAACUUAUUUCGAAAUAUUACAGAAAUAUAUCAAGUUGUUGCAAUUGUAUAUAUAUACAGUGCAACCUCUGUAGAGCAGCACCCUUUGGGAGAUACAAAUAUUGACUGUUAUGUAGAGGUUGUUGUUCUGGAGAGGUAAAUUUGAUAGUAUAUUUCAGCUUAGGGAAAUUUUGAUGAUGUUGUUAUAGAGAUUUUUGCUUAAGAGAGGGCUGCUCUGGAGAGGUUGUACUGUAUACAUUAUUCUACUUCUUGACACAUCGAACUUGUUCAUCUUUACACAUAUCGUACUUACAGAGCUAUUUUGCCCCUUAUUACUUUGUGUUGUACAUUAGUAUUGCAGAAUUUGCAUUUAUUUUCUCAUUAUUUGAUAAAUAAUGCAACUGAA
Molecule: long non-coding RNA, 2519 nt
Organism: Mercenaria mercenaria
Lineage: Eukaryota; Metazoa; Mollusca; Bivalvia; Venerida; Veneridae
Exons: 2
Source: RefSeq, a predicted model, not a curated record